This 155-nucleotide ribosomal RNA is filed under the name uncultured Bacillota bacterium. RNAcentral's name for it is "uncultured Firmicutes bacterium partial 16S ribosomal RNA". It matches the Rfam family "Bacterial small subunit ribosomal RNA", at positions 367 to 514 of the family's 1533-position model. The record is from RNAcentral. Lineage: Bacteria; Bacillati; Bacillota.
CGCAAUGGGCGAAAGCCUGACGGAGCAAUGCCGCGUGAGUGAUGAAGGUUUUCGGAUCGUAAAGCUCUGUUGCCAGGGAAGAACGCUUGGGAGAGUAACUGCUCUCAAGGUGACGGUACCUGAGAAGAAAGCCCCGGCUAACUACGUGCCAGCAG